Molecule: ribosomal RNA, 447 nt
Filed under: uncultured bacterium
Lineage: Bacteria
Description: bacterial SSU rRNA
Rfam family: Bacterial small subunit ribosomal RNA
Source: RNAcentral
GGCCUACGGGCGGCAGCAGUGGGGAAUUUUACGCAAUGGGGGAAACCCUGACGUAGCGACACCGCGUGAGCGAAGAAGCCCUUUGGGGUGUAAAGCUCUGUCAGCAGGAACGAAAAAAAUGACGGUACCUGCAGAGGAAGCAUCGGCUAACUACGUGCCAGCAGCCGCGGUAAGACGUAGGAUGCAAGCGUUGUCCGGAUUCAUUGGGCGUAAAGAGUUCGUAGGCGGUUUGUUAAGUCUGAUGUUAAAGAUCGGGGCCCAACCCUGGGAGUGCAUUUGAUACUGGCAGACUGGAGUGCAGUAGAGGCGAGUGGAAUUCCCAGUGUAGCGGUGAAAUGCGUAGAUAUUGGGAAGAACACCGGUGGCGCAGGCGACUCGCUGGGCUGUAACUGACGCUGAGGAACGAAAGCUAGGGGAGCAAAUGGGAUUAGAUACCCUGGUAGUCAA